GUCUCCCUUUGACAUUCCAUCAUUUGCUACAGGAUUGUUCUGAUUAUAAGUGACCGUUUGGGGUUGAUGUUAUUCUGGCAGUUCCUGAUCAAGAAAGGGAUUUCAGAUUAUCUGGGGUGACUACCAAAAGUAGCUAGUACUUCAAGCUCACCAAGAUGGUGUCAAGGUUAUUCACCAAGUGAGUGAAAUCUUUACACUGGAGCACUUCUAAUAUGCUGGAAUCUUACAUAAUCUAGAGAGAACCAACUACCAGUAACCUUGCAGGCUUGCACCUCAUUCACUCAAAUGUCUUACAUUGAGGGUUCGAAGUUCGAACAUUUGAAGUAGCUGAGAAUUUUAUUACUCAUUCAUGCUGGUAGAGAUCACUGUCCAAGGACUCAAAGCUGGGGAGGUAUGUCAUUCGAUUCGACAGGAUUUUUUUCUUUCAAGCAAACGCCUUUCAUUAUACAGUUGCCUGCCCCAAAAUUGACCUCUGCUAAUAUUUUGAAAGGAUCGUAGCAACUGUGUCACGAAGUUACUUGUUUCUCCCAAACCACCAAUUAAGACACCUUUCAGUUCAGUGCUUCCGUUUGUAGAAACAGCUAUCCGUCCAGCAACACCUAGAUUUCCUCGCGCUGCACUAUUGGUACUCAUCUUCAUGACACACGUUGGAAAAAAUCUCCAAUAGCAUUUUGUUGUCCUUGCUUGCGUUUUAAGACUCUUGUUUCCAGCUUAAAGUUGUGAAGUAUUGGCCAGUGUUGUUCAUAGCAUCUAGCACUUUACGCAAGCUAUCCUGAUUUCUGUCAAGCAUAUUGAGGUCAGUACUGAUCACUCUUAUUUAAGUUCUUUCCCAGUGGUUUCUUAUGAGGCGUACUUGUGCUUUUUUUUUCUUAUCAAUAAAAGUAGCUUUUUCAUUAGCUCUUUGACUCUUUCAUUGUCACUAUUUGACAUUCCACCAUUUAUUACAGGAUUGUUGAUCGGGAUGAUAAGAGAACUAAUAAGGAAGGCAAGAGCCUUGACUGAUGGUUUGGGGUUGAUGUUAUUCUGGCAGUUCCUGAUCAAGAUUGGGUUAAUUCUCAGGUUAUCUGGGGUGACUACUAAAAAAAACUAGUACUUAAAGCUCACCAAGCUGGUGUCAAGGUUGUUCACCAAGUGAGUGCGCUUUGUACUCUCAACCACGAAUACGAAUAAUAUGCUGGAAAUCUUACAUGAUCUAGAGAUAUCCAACUACCAGGCACCUUGCAGGCUUGCACCUCAUUCACUCUGUUGUAUUACAUGGAGGGUUGGAACAUUUGAAGUAGCUGAGAAUGUUAUUACUCAUCAAUGCUGGGGUAACGCAAAUUUCGACUUUCAAUUGGGGGGUAAGUGCCAAAAUCUCAAAAAAAAGAAUGAAGACUUUUCUUCACUCAGUUGUUUGCCAAAAAAAUAAUCUCUUAUUUGUUAGGUAUAAGGAUCACCCAUACUUCCAUUCUUUUACCUCUGCCAAUGUUUUGAGAUGGUCUCAUAGCCGGCAGUGUCUUGAUUGCCUCAUGCUGCACUCUCAAUAUUUUUGAAGUCCUUGCUUAUGUUUUGAUUGCACUGCUUAUAUAUAUAUAUAUAUAUAUAUAUAUCUGUUAAAAUAUGUAGUUCUAUGAAGGUUGUAAUUUUCUGUUAAUUUAAUUCUUUUGUUGGAUUUCUGUGAUCAUUUUGCUGCUCUGACCCUAGGGCCCAAUUUUGUCAAAGAUGGCUAGUGGCUACAUCAAAUCCAUGACAUUUUUAGAAUCUUUAAAAUUGUUUUGGAACUUCCAUUAGAAAUUCUUGAAAACUUUCGGACAUUAGUAGAAUAGUAGAUUACAUUAGCACUUAGCAUUGGUUGCGGGGUGCCAAGCUGCAAGUUGGUGCCAUCAUUCAAAUUAAAAUGUCAAGAUAGAGGACUGACAUGCUUGUAACACCAACUUUCUCAUUAGUAAACAUCGAUUCAAUUUUCACUUUUCAUACUGUCAUUAUUUGGAAGCCUCGAUCAAAUUGAUAGAACACUUACAAGAGUAUUUUUUGAACUAUCAUUUACGUGCACUUACUAGAAUCUUUGUCUGAAUAUUUACAGUAUUUAUUUAGUUUUGUAUUUGUUAUAAAGAAGAUUGAUGGUAAUGUUUUUCAGGUGCAUUUUAUAUUAUAUUGAAUUACACUUAAAACAGAUUGACAAUGUAACAGUGCAUAAACCAUAAUCCAAUAUUUGACUAAAGUGUCCCUAAUUAACACAGAUAGCCUAGGAAUCUUGUGGAAACAUUGAUGCUAUUUCUCCAUCCAUAAUUUCCAAUAAUUUGUAUUUUCGCUGAUCAUAGUAGGAAGAACAUGUAAACUAUUGUUGAGAAUUUUUCAAUUUUGCAUUCAUAAACUAAUACUGUUGAUUGUGUUCUUUGCAGUGAAUAAACUUCCGUAAUCACUUCUAGUGACAGAGCUCAGAUCGGUCAUCCAAACCUGAACUGCAAGCACAUAUAUGGUUCUCACACUCUGCCACUUCAUUACAUCAUUACAGCACUAUUAGGGAGAAAAGUUCGGUGGUUUCCUAUCUAUGCUGUCGAGAUCUAGCAUUGUGUUAUUUUCGGAACUUUAUGCUGUGUAAGUAACAUUAUUGACUGGCUGGUAUACCAUUUUCCAUUAUUUACUUCAUUACAUCUACCUUGUUGUAGCAUUUGCUCUUUGGUUCUUGUAAUCACUCUUGAUGUCUUCCAUACUCAACAUCUCAAUUCAGGUCUGUGGUGCUUCAAAAAUCUUAUAUAAUCUUCUUUUCUAGCAUCUGGAGUGGUAUGCUCGCUUAUCAAUCAUAAAUAUCUGUAACCUGCUGACAAGAAGAUUGUGUUUUCAAGUUUCUCCAGUUGUUUUUCUUGAUUAUAA
Molecule: long non-coding RNA, 2853 nt
Filed under: Aquilegia coerulea
Lineage: Eukaryota; Viridiplantae; Streptophyta; Magnoliopsida; Ranunculales; Ranunculaceae
Description: long non-coding RNA (ACOE_LNC001900)
Source: RNAcentral